GGUGAACGCUAGCGGCAGGCCUAAUACAUGCAAGCCGAACGGGAUCCUUCGGAGAGCUUGCUCGAAGGAGGUGAGAGUGGCGCACGGGUGCGUAACGCGUGAGCAACCUGCCCAUAUCAGGGGGAUAGCCCGGAGAAAUCCGGAUUAACACCGCAUAAUAUUACACGUUGGCAUCAACGCGUAAUUAAAUAUUUAAGGAUAUGGAUGGGCUCGCGUGACAUUAGCUGGUUGGUAGGGUAACGGCCUACCAAGGCUACGAUGUCUAGGGGCUCUGAGAGGAGAAUCCCCCACACUGGUACUGAGACACGGACCAGACUCCUACGGGAGGCAGCAGUAAGGAAUAUUGGUCAAUGGGCGGAAGCCUGAACCAGCCAUGCCGCGUGCAGGAUGACUGCCCUAUGGGUUGUAAACUGCUUUUGUACGGGAACAACCGCAGGUACGAGUACCUGCCUGAGUGUACCGUAAGAAUAAGGAUCGGCUAACUCCGUGCC
Molecule: ribosomal RNA, 491 nt
Filed under: uncultured bacterium
Lineage: Bacteria
Description: bacterial SSU rRNA
Rfam family: Bacterial small subunit ribosomal RNA
Source: RNAcentral